CCUACGGGUGGCAGCAGUGAGGAAUAUUGGUCAAUGGGCGGGAGCCUGAACCAGCCAUGCCGCGUGAAGGCGAGUGCCCUACGGGCGUUAAACUUCUUUUGUGCGGGAGCAAUAAGGGCCACGUGUGGCCCGAUGAGAGUACCGCACUAAUUAGCAUCGGCUAACUCCGUGCCAGCAGCCGCGGUAAUACGGGGGAUGCGAGCGUUAUCCGGAUUUUUUUGGUUUAAAGGGGGCGUAGGCGGGGCUUCAGGUCAGCGGUGAAAUAUUGGGGCUCAACCCCGGGGCUGCCGUUGAAACCGGGGGGCUAGAGUUCAGAUGAGGUCGGAGGAAUGUGUGGUGUAGCGGUGAAAUGCAUAGAUAUCACGAAGAACACCGAUUGCGAAGGCAUCUGACGAAUCGGAGAUUGACGCUGAUGCACGAAAGCGUGGGUAUCGAACAGGAUUAGAUACCCUUGUAGUC
RNAcentral lists this ribosomal RNA (459 nucleotides) under uncultured bacterium. RNAcentral's name for it is "partial 16S ribosomal RNA". It matches the Rfam family "Bacterial small subunit ribosomal RNA", at positions 338 to 795 of the family's 1533-position model. The record is from RNAcentral.